GCACGUCAGCUCUGUUUACCCCUCCUUUGUUGAAAGUGGGUGUUCAAGGGCAAUCCAUCUUCGUUGACAUUCAUCACCCUAGCAAAAAAAAGGUGGAGGGACUGGUGUUCGCUAUAGACCUCCUUCGGAACUUCUCUGGUCAGGAAGAUAAGGUGGCACAGAAAAUAUCAGCUGAUGGAUUUCACUUCUUUCACAAGCUUCCUGUAGAUCGCUACUGUGUAAACGUUUCGGUUGUUAACUACCUGAAAAAACAGUUUGCAGUGGAAUGCGUUGUCCUCCACGGGAAAGCAGAUGGGUGGCCCUGGGUGAUCGUGGCAACGGGUGUGUCUUUCCUUCUUGCUAUUCCUGUUGGACUGAUCCUAAUCAUUGUGUUGUGUUACUUGUGGCCCAGAUCAAACUACCUCAGAACUCCAGAAACUCUGAUAAUCAGAGUUAUGAAGCCAAAGGUGCUGGAGAUUGUCUCUGAAAAGACCAGCGCUAUGAUGGUCUGUGUGUUGAAAUAUGAAGAGAACAACAGAUCAGUGGACUAUGAAGUCAGGAGAGGUUUUACUUCAGUCAGGGACAUGAGCUUAGUUUGCAGUAAAGGGGCGAUCUGUCUGGCCCCUGAGGAAGAUGAUGACGUGUGUACUGGUGGCAUUCAUCACUCUGCUGAUUACGGGCUGGAACUGGACAGCAGUGAUGAGGAUACUCCAGUGACGGAAACACCAUUAUAUGCAGCUGCCUGUCUAUACGAGACGCAUGAAUGUUUCGAAAAUGGACUCUCAAGAGAGAUGGCGAGAUUGAUGGUUGAUGUACAGUUGCAGGACAAUGUCUCAUUAAACUCUUUAAACAGCCAGUCAACCAGGAGUUCAGAGAGCAUAGAGUCCACAGAGGACGCAACAGAGACGCCUUUGGACCGUUCAUUUAACUAUGAGCCUCGUCAUCUGAUCGCCUGGUACAACCGUGAUGAAGUUAGCCAGUGAGUUACUUGUUCAAAUGUGACACCUCUGGCAUUGCAUAUUCAGUUAGUGUUAUAAAUACACAUUUGAUGCUCCGGAAGAUCAAAUAUUAAAUGGUGC
Molecule: long non-coding RNA, 1058 nt
Organism: Clupea harengus (Atlantic herring)
Lineage: Eukaryota; Metazoa; Chordata; Actinopteri; Clupeiformes; Clupeidae
Source: Ensembl